AGGGAUUCCCUCAGUAAGGGCGACUGAAAUGGGAAGAGCCCAGCGCAUAAGCUCGUCUUGCUCUUCACCGGGCACGAGCGGUGUUGCGUUUCGGAGGGUCCGGCACGCCGCCUUACGACGCCUAAGUCAUGCUUGAAAGCGGCCACUACCCAUGGAGGGUGAAAGGCCCGUCUGGCGGAGCCCGUGAGGGCAUAAGUGAGGCGGUCGGAAAGGACCUUUCCGUAGAGUCGGGUUGCUUGAGAGUGCAGCCCAAAGCAGGUGGUAAACUCCAUCUAAGGCUAAAUAUGACCAAGAGA
This 296-nucleotide ribosomal RNA is filed under the name Pagurus mbizi. Its description in RNAcentral is "partial large subunit ribosomal RNA". It matches the Rfam family "Eukaryotic large subunit ribosomal RNA", at positions 70 to 333 of the family's 3401-position model. The record is from RNAcentral. Lineage: Eukaryota; Metazoa; Arthropoda; Malacostraca; Decapoda; Paguridae.